UACGAAGUGGGGCGAGGAACCAACUUUCUCUUUUUAGUAAGCUCGUAACUGUUCUGUCGUGAAUGAAUUUUUAUCGGUUGUUGUUUAUGUGUAUUCCAUACGUAAUAGUGUGUUAUUUAAUUCAAGAAAAUUGUGGUUAUUUGUGUUGAAGUUCAUGGUGGCUAUUUCUUCCCAACCACAUUCUUACGUUACAUAUUUCUGUCUCGUACAACUCGAGCAAAAUUUGCAUAUCAAGGGAUCUGAGCUCAACGAUCACAGACCAGGUCCAUAUCUAGAGAUCCUUCUUCUAACAGAGUGGCUGGCGUGGCUUUG
Molecule: long non-coding RNA, 312 nt
Organism: Agrilus planipennis (emerald ash borer)
Lineage: Eukaryota; Metazoa; Arthropoda; Insecta; Coleoptera; Buprestidae
Exons: 3
Source: RefSeq, a predicted model, not a curated record